GGUAAGCGAUGGGGUGACGCAGGAAGGUAGUCCAGCCCAGGCGAUGGUUGUCCUGGGGUAAGCAUGUAGGGCGUGUCGUAGGUAAAUCCGCGGCAUUUAAGCCUGAGAUGUGAUGCCGAGCCGAUUGUGGUGAAGUGGAUGAUCCUAUGCUGCCGAGAAAAGCCUCUAGUGAGUGUUGUGGCGGCCCGUACCCUAAACCGACUCAGGUGGUCGGGUAGAGAAUACCAAGGCGAUCGGGUGAACUGUGGUUAAGGAACUCGGCAAAUUGCCCCCGUAACUUCGGGAGAAGGGGGACCUCUGUUGGUGAUGGGCUUUACGCCUGGAGCUGGUGGGGGUCGCAGUGGCCAGGGGGAAGCGACUGUUUACUAAAAACACAGGUCCGUGCGAAGUCGUAAGACGAUGUAUACGGACUGACGCCUGCCCGGUGCCGGAACGUUAAGGGGACCGCUUAGCUGACGUGAGUUGGCGAAGGUGAGAACUUAAGCGCCGGUAAACGGCGGUGGUAACUAUAACCAUCCUAAGGUAGCGAAAUUCCUUGUCGGGUAAGUUCCGACCUGCACGAAUGGCGUAACGACUUCCCCGCUGUCUCAACCGCAGACCCGGCGAAAUUGCACUACGAGUAAAGAUGCUCGUUUCGCGCAGCAGGACGGAAAGACCCCGGGACCUUCACUACAGCUUGACAUUGGCGUUUGGAACGUCUUGUGUAGGAUAGGUGGGAGACUGGGAAGCUGUCACGCUAGUGAUGGUGGAGUCAUUGGUGAAAUACCACUCUGGUCGUUUUGAACGUCUAACUCUGGUCCGUGAUCCGGAUCGGGGACAGUGUCUGGUGGGUAGUUUAACUGGGGCGGUUGCCUCCUAAAGAGUAACGGAGGCGCCCAAAGGUUCCCUCAGCCUGGUUGGCAAUCAGGUGUUGAGUGUAAGUGCACAAGGGAGCUUGACUGUGAGACUGACAGGUCGAGCAGGAGCGAAAGCUGGGACUAGUGAUCCGGCAUCGGCGUGUGGAAGCGGUGUCGCUCAACGGCUAAAAGGUACCCCGGGGAUAACAGGCUGAUCUUCCCCAAGAGUCCAUAUCGACGGGAUGGUUUGGCACCUCGAUGUCGGCUCGUCGCAUCCUGGGGCUGGAGUAGGUCCCAAGGGUUGGGCUGUUCGCCCAUUAAAGCGGUACGCGAGCUGGGUUUAGAACGUCGCGAGACAGUUCGGUCCCUAUCCGCUGCGCGCGCAGGAGACUUGAAGGGGGCUGUCCCUAGUACGAGAGGACCGGGACGGACGAACCUCUGGUGUGCCAGUUGUACCGCCAGGUGCACGGCUGGUUGGCUACGUUCGGAAGGGAUAACCGCUGAAAGCAUCUAAGCGGGAAGCUCGCCUUGAGAUGAGGUCUCCCACCACGAGAGUGGGUAAGGCUCCCGGUAGACGACCGGGUUGAUAGGCCGGAGGUGGAAGCACGGUAACGUGUGGAGCUGACCGGUACUAAUAGGCCGAGGACUUGACC
This 1489-nucleotide ribosomal RNA is filed under the name metagenome. RNAcentral's name for it is "bacterial LSU rRNA". It matches the Rfam family "Bacterial large subunit ribosomal RNA", at positions 1456 to 2925 of the family's 2925-position model. The record is from RNAcentral.